Molecule: non-coding RNA, 267 nt
Organism: Vicia faba (fava bean)
Lineage: Eukaryota; Viridiplantae; Streptophyta; Magnoliopsida; Fabales; Fabaceae
Source: the annotation of a GenBank genome assembly
AUGAAAGAAUCUAAGAGAUCUCAAACACUCUUCCAUACACUUUUUCUUUCAAGGUCAUUCAAAAUUCUCAUGAUUCAUUCAAAGCUCCCUCUUGCUCAAGAUGUGGUUAUUCAAAGUUGCCAAGAUUUGAAUCUCAUUUCAAAGAAACUUAAUUUUCAAGCUCCAUCACAUUUUCAAGAUUUACAUCUUCGACUACAAACUGUACAAGUCCAAUUCAUGGCAAGCUUUGUUCCACCAAUAAAUUACAAGCAAAUACAAAGAGUUUAA